AGUGAACGCUGGCGGUAGGCCUAACACAUGCAAGUCGAACGGCAGCACAGUAAGAGCUUGCUCUUACGGGUGGCGAGUGGCGGACGGGUGAGGAAUACAUCGGAAUCUACUUUUUCGUGGGGGAUAAUGUAGGGAAACUUACGCUAAUACCGCAUACGACCUACGGGUGAAAGCAGGGGAUCUUCGGACCUUGCGCGAUUGAAUGAGCCGAUGUCGGAUUAGCUAGUUGGCGGGGUAAAGGCCCACCAAGGCGACGAUCCGUAGCUGGUCUGAGAGGAUGAUCAGCCACACUGGAACUGAGACACGGUCCAGACUCCUACGGGAGGCGGCAGUGGGGAAUAUUGGACAAUGGGCGCAAGCCUGAUCCAGCCAUACCGCGUGGGUGAAGAAGGUCUUCGGGUUGUAAAGCCCUUUUGUUGGGAAAGAAAAGCAGCAGGUUAAUACCCCGCUGUUCUGACGGUACCCAAAGAAUAAGCACCGGCUAACUUCGUG
Molecule: ribosomal RNA, 492 nt
Filed under: uncultured bacterium
Lineage: Bacteria
Description: partial 16S ribosomal RNA
Rfam family: Bacterial small subunit ribosomal RNA
Source: RNAcentral